UGGCAGACGGGUGAGUAACAUGUGGGUAUCUACCCUUUGGCCUGGAAUAACACGAGGAAACUUGUGCUAAUACCGGAUAAGUCUUUACGGAGAAAGCUUUAUGCACCAUUGGAUGAGCCCGCACUUGAUUAGUUUGUUGGUAGGGUAAUGGCCUACCAAGACUAUGAUCAAUAGCUGAUUUGAGAGGAUGAUCAGCCACAUUGGGACUGAGACACGGCCCAAACUCCUACGGGAGGCAGCAGUGGGGAAUCUUGCACAAUGGAGGAAACUCUGAUGCAGCGAUGCCGCGUGAGUGAAGAAGGCCUUUGGGUUGUAAAGCUCUUUCGUCGGGGAAGAAAAUGACUGUACCCGAAUAAGAAGGUCCGGCUAACUUCGUGCCAGCAGCCGCGGUAAUACGAAGGGACCUAGCGUAGUUCGGAAUUACUGGGCUUAAAGAGUUCGUAGGUGGUUGAAAUAGUUGGUGGUGAAAUCCCAGAGCUUAACUCUGGAACUGCCAUCAAAACUUUUCAGCUAGAGUAUGAUA
Molecule: ribosomal RNA, 523 nt
Filed under: uncultured Pelagibacterales bacterium
Lineage: Bacteria; Pseudomonadati; Pseudomonadota; Alphaproteobacteria; Candidatus Pelagibacterales
Description: bacterial SSU rRNA
Rfam family: Bacterial small subunit ribosomal RNA
Source: RNAcentral